UUUUUUUCCUUUUCCUUUUGUUUUCUUUUCAUUUCUUUCCGUUUUUCGGAGAUCUCUAGGAAGAGAAGCACCUGAGGGAGAUCGGAGGGAAAGGCCGACGCCAGUGACGAUGGGGAGGAAGGCGACCGCGGAGACCGGUGGGAGGUGGCGGCGAGGAGAGCAAGAAGGAGGUCGGCGUCUCUCUUUUUCGGAGAGAUCUGUGGGAAGGAAAGCACAGGAGGGAGAUUGGAGGGGAAGGCCGACGCCGGUGAUGAGAGAGAGGAAGGCGACGGCAGAGACCGGCGGGAGGUGGCGGCGAGGACAGUAGGGAGGAGGUGGGCGUGGCGUGUCAUCCACCCGCUGCUUAUCCCUCCGAUGAUUGGCAUCUUUCCCUCCGAUGAUGAUGCGAUUUGAUUGGCCGACGGUUGAGAUGAAGUAAAAUCAAAAGAAAGAUGC
RNAcentral lists this long non-coding RNA (435 nucleotides) under Elaeis guineensis (African oil palm). Its description in RNAcentral is "long non-coding RNA (EGUI_LNC018086)". The record is from RNAcentral. Lineage: Eukaryota; Viridiplantae; Streptophyta; Magnoliopsida; Arecales; Arecaceae.